UGGGGAAUCUUGCACAAUGGGCGAAAGCCUGAUGCAGCAACGCCGCGUGCGGGAAGACAGCCCUAGGGUUGUAAACCGCUUUCAGCAGGGAAGAAACUGACGGUACCUGCAGAAGAAGAUGCGGCCAACUACGUGCCAGCAGCCGCGGUGACACGUAGGCAUCAAGCGUUAUCCGGAUUUAUUGGGCGUAAAGAGCUCGUAGGCGGUUCGGUAAGUCGGGUGUGAAAACUCUGGGCUCAACCCAGAGAGGCCACUCGAUACUGCUGUGACUAGAGUGCGGUAGGGGAGCGGGGAAUUCCUGGUGUAGCGGUGAAAUGCGCAGAUAUCAGGAGGAACACCAGUGGCGAAGGCGCCGCUCUGGGCCGUAACUGACGCUGAGGAGCGAAAGCAUGGGUAGCAAACAGGAUUAGAUACCCUGGUAGUCCAUGCCGUAAACGUUGGGCACUAGGUGUGGGUCUCAACCGAACGAGAUCCGCGCCGUCGCUAACGCAUUAA
This 495-nucleotide ribosomal RNA is filed under the name uncultured bacterium. RNAcentral's name for it is "bacterial SSU rRNA". It matches the Rfam family "Bacterial small subunit ribosomal RNA", at positions 355 to 863 of the family's 1533-position model. The record is from RNAcentral.